GAAGGGGUAGCUCAGUGGUAGAGCGUGUGCUUAGCAUGCACAAGGUCCUGGGUUCAAUCCCCAGUACCUCCC
This 72-nucleotide transfer RNA is filed under the name Camelus bactrianus (Bactrian camel). It matches the Rfam family "tRNA". From Rfam's summary of the family: Transfer RNA (tRNA) molecules are approximately 80 nucleotides in length. Their secondary structure includes four short double-helical elements and three loops (D, anti-codon, and T loops). Further hydrogen bonds mediate the characteristic L-shaped molecular structure. tRNAs have two regions of fundamental functional importance: the anti-codon, which is responsible for specific mRNA codon recognition, and the 3' end, to which the tRNAs corresponding amino acid is attached (by aminoacyl-tRNA synthetases). tRNAs cope with the degeneracy of the genetic code in two manners: having more than one tRNA (with a specific anti-codon) for a particular amino acid; and 'wobble' base-pairing, i.e. permitting non-standard base-pairing at the 3rd anti-codon position. The record is from Rfam by way of RNAcentral. Lineage: Eukaryota; Metazoa; Chordata; Mammalia; Artiodactyla; Camelidae. RNAcentral also lists the same sequence under 2 other names.